AAUAUUGGAUAAUGGGGGCAACCCUGAUCCAGCCAUGCCGCGUGUUUGAAGAAUGCCUUCGCAUUGUAAAGCACUUUAAGUUGGGAGGAAGGGCUUUAGGUUAAUACCCUGAAGUUUUGACGUUACCAACCGAAUAAGCACAGGCUAACUUUGUUCUAGCAGCCGCGGUAAUACAGAGGGUGCAAGCGUUAAUCGGAAUUACUGGGCGUAAAGCGCGCGUAGGUGGUUCAGUAAGAUGGGUGUGAAAUCCCCGGGCUUAACCUGGGAACUGCUUUCAUAACUGCUGAGCUAGAGUACGGUAGAGGGUAGUGGAAUUUCCUGUGUAGCGGUGAAAUGCGUAGAUAUAGGAAGGAACACCAGUGGCGAAGGCGACUACCUGGACUGAUACUGACACUGAGGUGCGAAAGCGUGGGGAGCAAAC
RNAcentral lists this ribosomal RNA (421 nucleotides) under uncultured bacterium. RNAcentral describes it as "partial 16S ribosomal RNA". It matches the Rfam family "Bacterial small subunit ribosomal RNA", at positions 360 to 773 of the family's 1533-position model. The record is from RNAcentral.